This 277-nucleotide long non-coding RNA is filed under the name Lathyrus oleraceus (garden pea). RNAcentral describes it as "Pisum sativum (pea) long non-coding RNA (PSAT_LNC020677)". Lineage: Eukaryota; Viridiplantae; Streptophyta; Magnoliopsida; Fabales; Fabaceae. The record is from RNAcentral.
UAUUCAUCUCUUCAUGAGCAUGUUGUAUCUCUCACCCUCAUACCUGGCGUUCAGAUCACAUGUCUCCUUGAGCUUAUUACCCAGUAACCGGUAAUACCUCAUCCCGCUGCUUCCCCAGGAGUGUCCUUGUGGACAUCCCCAGCGAAGUCCCUUAGUGGAUUGUUUUCAUCCAGAUUUUAUCCGAAGUAUCCGUUGUGGAUAGUUUUUUGCUGUAUUGGCAUAUUCCCCAAUACAUGCAUCUUCGAGUCAGCUCGAGUCUUUCCAUUGGAUCUUUUCC